RNAcentral lists this long non-coding RNA (8781 nucleotides) under Musa acuminata (dwarf banana). Its description in RNAcentral is "long non-coding RNA (MACU_LNC005663)". The record is from RNAcentral. Lineage: Eukaryota; Viridiplantae; Streptophyta; Magnoliopsida; Zingiberales; Musaceae.
AUUCCUCACAAUAAGAUAGAAGUUGGCGUGAGUUGUAAAAUGUCAUUUUAUUUUCCAGCCGGUAGUUACAUCCGAUUAGCCUUAGUUGGAAAAUUAGAACUGGGUGUCCUUCAUCAGUAAUUGUUUCAUUAAACUUGACUUUGUUGCUUCAUUGACUUUAAAGCGUUUGCGUUUGAUUUCCGAUGGAACUAUUUUAUAUAAAUAUUUCUUGCGGUCUUGUUCUAAUUUUUACGUCUUGGAACAGUUGCCCUUUGCUUGACCAAGCAUACCUAUGUGCUUCGCUUGCAAUUUGUUUCCUUGUUUAGUCAUUGGAAAACCCUUAAUUAAUUUUGUGCUUAUGCUUAUAGUUCAGGUAGUUUACUUGUUCCUUUUAGAACACUUAUUUAUCAUCUCAGCUAACUGGUUGUACUACACUACAAUCCAUCAUCUUGCUGCUUGGGUUGACACAGAGUUAUCACUUGUUUUUCAUGUGACAUACUUGUACUGAUUAAGUUAUAUUAGGAGAGAGAACUUUGCACUUGAUAGGGGUGGUAAUUACGAUAAGACUCCCGUAACAUCAGCUGACGCCCUGCGCCUCUGACAGACUGACAACACUUGGCUAGCAUGGGCCAAAACGCCAACCGAGGCCCAUUAACGACCGCUCAGGCUCGCCUCCUCACGACACGCCGAUCGCAAUGUCAGACACCAUCAGAUGUACGAUCCUACUCCCUGCGGACAUGCGCUCCAGGUAACGCUAAGCUCCUAUAUAAAUACCCCCGUGUUCUAAGCAAAAAAGAAAGAGAAAAAGAGAUCACGCCACUCCACAUCACUAACUUGAUCGUCGGAGAGGUCGGGUCGAGCUUCCGACCCGACCCGUGUGCAGGACCAGAGACGAGGCGCCUCACACUAGGCGCGCAGGCGAAGGGCACCCAGGAGACGUUUGGGCAAUUCCCUGACAUUCAGACUCGAACCAAGCCACGUCGGCCCGAGGCCGCGGCUUAAAGGUGUUUACACUAACAACACUGAUUAAGAUAUAUUGGAAGAGAGAACUUCCUGCUGUGGGGGAAUUCUCUCGAACUCUCAAAAAUUUUGGGGAGAUCAACAAUUAAGGAAUAGAAAAUAUUUGAUAUUUUUUUGUUUGUCUGUCUAUAGAGAAAAUUAAGUUCAUCACUAGAUCUCUUAUAGUAAAAAAAAACCCACUUAAAGUGUCUCUUUGUAUCUCUAUUUUACUAAGAUCUUGAGAUAUGUAUUUAUAGUAAUAACUCUUAAUUUAUUAAAAAAUUUUAAUGUAAUUAGAACUUCUUCAACUUGUUUGAAUUUAAUUGGUACAUAAAAUAUUUAUCAAUCCUAAUAAUCUUCAUAUUUAUGAGGAUUUUUUUACUUUUUACCUACGAAAAAUCGGGAAGCACCUAAAUAUUUUUCUUUUGCCUCUCUUUUAUUAAGACUUUAUGCUAUAAUACACCGUGUAUUUACCGCAUAAAGUCCUAAUUCACUAACUAGUUUUGAAUUUAAUUGACACAUGUAAAAUAUUUAUCAAACCUAAUAAUCUCCAUAUUGAUGAGUAUAUAUUUUUUUUUACUUUAUUCCUUCGACCUUCUUUUUGAGAAAAAUUCAGAAGCACCUAAAUAUUUUCCUUUUUCCUUUCUUUUACUAAGACUUUAUAUAUUAUAAAUACACCAUGUAUUUAUCACAUAAAGUCCUAAUUCACUUACUACUUUCUUUUUGAAUUCCUAAUUAAUCCUAAUCCUCUAAAAACUUAAAUCUAAAUAGUACUUCAAAUAAUUUGAAUAUAAUCAGUAUUCCUAAAUAAUUACCAACCUUUAUAAAAUAAUAUGAUAACUUUAUCAUUUAAGACGAUAAAUAUGGAUUAAAGUUAGUUCCUAAUAAGCUAUCUUAUUAUCGAAUGUUCUUCCUAUUUAUACAUAUUAGGAGAAAGAAUUUUCCUCAACAAAGUAGUUUGAUUUUUUCAUACAAUUGAAAAAAUCUUAUCUGCUAUCAUGCCCCUGCAAGAUAAUGUUCCUGUCGAAGAUGUCGAUCUUCACCAAAGGCCACACUUGGGGCGUUGUUAUAAUGCAAACUGGAUCCAACGAGAGGCAAACUGGAUCCAACGAGAGGCAAACUUGCUCCAAGCAAAAUAUAAGAUGUAUUUUGCAUUGAAAUUUAUUGAAUAUUUUCUUAUUUAUACAUGUUAAGAUGAAAGAUUUUUCUCAACAAAAUAACGAGAUUUGGCUAUCAUCCUCCAUAAAUGCUAGAAAAUGAAUCAAAACAGACAGUGAUCGAAGCAUAUAAACUACCAGUCGUGAGGUACAAGUGGUAGCUGACACAAAGAGGCAGGCGAUGAAUUGGAAGUAGGUAGCAACUAACCACCCCCCAUGCGCUAUUAAUACCACAUGAGAAGAGAGGCGGGCCGCGACAUCUUCCUCUUCUUCUUGUGCUUGCACAACUCAGGGGAGGAGGAAAGGAGAAAGAUGGACGGGCAAGAGAAGAAGAUGAAGGUUCUCUGCCUCCAUGGCUUUCGAACCAGUGGGAGCUUCUUGCGCAAACAAAUCAGCAAGUGGGAUCCUUCCAUCUUCCACCACUUCCACUUGGUAUCUCUCUCUCUCUCUCUCUCGCUCUCUCUAGAAAGAAGUCUUGUUAACAUCAUCUUCUUCCACCUACAGGACUUUCCGGAUGGUAUAUAUCCAGCAGGAGGGAAGUCGGACAUAGAAGGCAUAUUUCCACCACCAUACUUUGAGUGGUUCCAAUUCAACAAGGUAAUGUCCUAAAUUAGGGCUUCAGUCGAUAACUCGAUCUCGGUGCGACAACAUCUCAUGAUAGCUUUGAUAUGUUGUUAUAUAGGAAUUUACAGAAUACAAGAAUUUCGAGGAGUGUAUCUCUUAUCUGUGUGACUACAUCACAAAGAAUGGCCCUUUCCAUGGAUUGCUUGGCUUCUCUCAGGUUUCGUGCAUCGUUGAUAAUGGAAUGCUAGUUCUGCAAGCUAACUUGGUUUGAUAGUAGAGUUAACGUAUUGCAGAGUGAUCCCUCUUCAUAAUAAAUAAUUAUGGUUUUUUAUUCAUUGUUAAAUUGGUGGUGAAUCUGUCCUGUUCAGCAUAUGCCUCAUUGUUAAAUUGGUAAUAUUUUUGUCUGAAUCAUAGAAAAUCCUUAUUUUGUUCAUUAGUUUUCUAAGCUGUUGGCAAUUUCUGAUAUUCAUUGAUAAUAAGAAGAAUUUCUGAUUGAAAACUUUGAAAUGAUUUUUUUUUUAUUAUUUGAUUAGAUAAUAGUUAACUUUUUAAGAACUUAUGAGUUGUUUCCAACUUUGAAUAGUUACGCUUUGCAUGUUCUUGAAUGCUGCAUUUACGGUUACCUCAUCAAUCAUGACUUGAUCGGAGUAGAUGUAAAGCUAUUUUUGAAUAAAUCCUGUGUUCUUAGAUCAUGCUCAGGUAGGUAUAGGAAGGGAUCUUGAGGUUUUGCUUUUUCAUCUCCUUCUUCCAAAUUAAUAGUCUUUACGAGAAAGACUCUCUCAUUCUUUCAACCCCAGCAAGUGGCUUGGCCAUGGUGAUCUGCAAGAGACUAAUGAUUUCUUUUCCUUUGUCACAGGGUGCAACACUAUCAGCACUUUUGAUAGGCUAUCAAGCUCAGGUAAGCCACUGUCUUUAAAAAAUAAAAGGAAAACAUAUCUGCUUUUUCCAUCUUUAUUAGUGUGUUCAAGCCAUAACCAUUCUGUAAAACACAAUUCUAUUUGAACUCAACAACUUAUGGUGUAAAACUAUGAACAUUGUAAAAGCAAGCUAGAAUGUGAUUGGUUACCAAAGCUGACUUGAUUUUAGAUCUGAAACAAAUACUUGCUCAAUAUAUAUCGCUAAUAGAAGCCUUAACACAAUACGUUUCCUAGUAUUAUCUUAUGUUAAUUGUCCAGAUUAAAUUAAUGUUUACCUUUAUCAUGUCUGGACAGGGGAAGGUACUGAAGGACCACCCACCAAUAAAAUUUUUGGUGUCAAUAUCAGGUAGCAAGUUCAGAGACCCAAGCAUAUGUGACAUUGCUUACAAGGACCCCAUCAAGGUGAAAUCUGUGCACUUUAUUGGAGAGAAAGAUUGGCUGAAACUGCCUUCUGAGGAGCUUGCUGCUGCCUUUGACAACCCUUUGAUUCUGAGGCAUCCCCAGGGCCACACUGUCCCUAGACUCGGUUGGUAUUUAUUACCUCUUUUUUUUUUCUUCCACUUGAACCAAAUGAUAACUUACAGCAUGAAUGGUACAAGAGUAAGAUGAUGGUAUACAGGAGUUAGUUCUUGCAUAAGGUAUGAAUUGCUUGAGAUUCUGCUGCAAGUUUACUAAGAUUGUGUUUGAGCUCAUCUUCGAUCAAAGAUAUCAAUAUUUUUUAGGAAUUUUCUUUUAUUAAAGUGCCCUCAACAUCAGAGUAAUAUCAGACGAUUUGUUAAAUCAACAGGUACAACACAGCAAACACAAAAAUUACAAGUUGAUAAUUUAGCAGUAAUUCAGAUGGAUUGAUGCAACACAAAUGCUCCAUGUGAAGAUAGCAUACAUUUUUAACCUCCAAAGGUCUUGGAUAAGAAAUUAGAUAUAAUAUCUAGAAACAAAAUUUACAUAAAAUGCUUUCUAGAUCCACUUGAACAAUAAUAGCAUAUAUAUGAGUUGGUGAACAGGAGAUAUAUGGUCCAUAUAUUACAUUCUGUGAAGCAAUUUGUAUUGUGUUGUUUCAUAUGAUUUGUUUGUCUUGUAUCAGAUGCAGUUCUCUGUACCACAAAAUUUUGAUGUGAGAAUUGAUAAUUGCUGACAGAUGAGGCAGCUGCGAAACAGCUAUCGGAAUGGACUGCAAGCAUUUCCAGAAGUGAAUUCCCCUGCGGUACUUCUGUUCCGAAGAAUGUUGAAUGUGAAAUGAACAACAUCAAGCAUGAAGCGAUAGCUGAUCCAAAAUGCAUCGAAGCUCCAAGUGCAGCUUAGGUUUCACCACAUGAACUGGUAAGUAAAAUAAAGAAAAGAACAUGGUAUGACAUGCAACUGUUGUUUCUUUCUUUGAACAGCUACAUGAACUUUGUAAUCCUUCCACAUGAUGCAUUUUGCUGAAUCCAGAGUUCCCUUAUCAGUCACAGAACACUACUCAAUGAUUGUUAUAUUCACGAAUGUCGAUUGCAUAUAUUUCCCAUCUGUUGUUGUUUCUUACAAACAUUAUCAGGAUUUAAUCUUUCUAUCAUUUCAGUCAUUAGUGACAGAUUCAUUUAAUUUAUUGUCUCAGUUAUUUAGGAAUAAUUAUAUGAAUAUUUUUAUCAUGAAGCCUUGUGCAAACAACCAUCUCCUAUUUAAGUUGACCAUGUAGAAAUCCUACUCCAUUGGAAUCUAAUUCGACUCAACCAGAGUUGACCCAUCCCCCUGGGCUCCACAAUUGCUGCCUCCAAUCCAAAUCCACCCAGUGGAUAGAUAUCAUGCAACACAAUAAUAAACCGAUAAAAGUUGCAUCAUUCUCACGUAAUUAGAACGUCAGCCAGCAUCCUUAAAGCACUCUGUGAUCAGAACUGCAGUGGGGUGUUUAGAUCAAGUCAACAUCUUUGACUUGGUCCUGUUAGCUUUUAGACCCUAUAGAACAGUCUUAGUGGCCCCCUGGUUUGGUGGUCAACAAAUUUGACUCGGGGGUCCAAUUUUGACCCCGAUUCCAGUGCACAAGCUGGUGAAGAGCUUUCCACCUCCGUAUGCAUAUGAAAUGUGAGAUCUUUGCCUUGCAAUUCUUUAUGCUCUUUGGUGGUCAUAUCAUAUGCAUCAUAUGCUACAUUCAAGAUGCAAUUGCAUGGAAGAUAUCAUGGAAGUUAGAACAGGAAACUGUGGCCUCGCUUCCACCAUUAGUGUACGAUCCCAUCAACACAAGUAAUACCACCACACAACACUUCCACCAAGUGUUUGAUGAAAUGAAAGGAUGAGAACCCAACAGUAGCAUCGACAAAGGAGCGUCCUUUACAUGACGCCCCACGAGUCGAGGGACGAAAAGGCCGGGAGCAGCCCGUCGAAGUCAGAAGCCGGCCCGAACGAGCUGCCCUCGUCGCGGUCCAGCAAGAACGCCGAGGUGUCGAGCGUGGGCAGGUGGGUCUGCUGCAGGACCGCCGGCCGCACCGGCUCUGGCUUCACCAGCGGCUCGGCCAGAUCCCCGUACAGCCGGACGCCGGUGACCCGCUGCACCAUCUCCCGGAAGUGGGCCGGGUCAGCGUUGAUGUAGGUGGUGGGCGCUCGCUUAGACGGGCGCGACCUCCGCUUCGAGAUCCUCCCCGCCGGGGUGGGCGCCAGCGGGUUCCGCCCGCGGACGGCGGCGACGUCUCCGAGAGGGGAAGUGACUUGGUAACGAGGGAGAAGGACGGGGGUGCGGGAGGUGGAGGUGGUGGCGGCGACGGAGGAGAGGGUGUCGUGGGAAGCUGAGGAGGAGGUGUCGGAGAGGGAGAUCUGGAGGGCUCGCGUGAGGGCCUCGUUGUCGCGGGCGAAGGCCUCGUUCAUCCACGCCGACUCCGUGCGGUGCAUCCACGGAUCGAGCACCGAGCAAUUCUCCGCCAUGCUCAUCGUCCGCUCGAUCUCUCUCUCGUCGGGCUCUCGACGGGCUUCUCAAAGAACUCGGAUAGUUUGGUAUGGGGGGUUUAAUAGGCGCGUCCGUCGGCCACGUGUCCUUCAAUCGUCCGCGUCGGGUGACGGCGUUUCGUGUCGGAGCGGUAGGGUUCAUAGUUUAUCUCCACCUUUAAACCUAUUUAGGAGGAGAAUCGUGACGUUGACCGUCAGGCCUCGUCGUCCGUGGGACCCACGCGCAGGUUCGUGAGUGCCGUCGAAAUUUUACGGUCCUGCCACCUUUCCGGAGACGGAACCGAUAGCCCCUAAACUUACCAUUAUUUACGACGCUGACCGGCGCGUGUUCGGGAAUCUGGUGAGAGGGUCGUCGGUGCAAUUAAUGGGCACGUGGAUGGUUGUUACGGGGAAAAGAGGAAUGGGGGAGAUAAGAGCGCGUCAGCAGUGACGUGGGAUCCGCUUGCGUCACGUCCAAGUGAGGAUGCCGUCUCGUAUGGCCAUUCGGAUGGACCAGAACCGUUUGAUCUGAUAGCUGACGGCUACGAUCUGUUGCUCCUCCCUCUCGUCUUGGCUGCCCAUGAAAUUGGCACAACGAACCAGAACCGUUUGAUCAGCUAGAUGACGGCUACGAUCUGCUGCCCGUGAAAUUGGUACAAUGGACCAAAGCCGUUUGAUCAGCCAGCUGACGGCUACGAUCUGUUUCUUCUCCCGCCCAUUACAAGCCUUCUCGCCUAAGCAUCUCAAGUAUCCAAGUCAAUCAAAUCCUCCAUCGAAUCUCCCACCAUCUUUGUUCUAUACUUGUGAUCUUGACCAUUAGAGAUCAUCUUUCACGGACAAAUACUAGUGGCAAUGUCACACUAAGAGGAUUAAAGAGCAAGUCACCUCCACAUUGAUUCUUCUUGUCCAUGGAUUAUUUAGAUGCAUGACUAUUGGUCCCAAAAUCUCGAAGAACUUCGUAAGUGCUUGCGAAAUAAUAGAUAAAAUUAUAUUUUAAAUAUAUAUUGAUAUAUGUAUUAUUUAAUAAAUUAUAAUUUAAAAGUUUAUUGAAUAUUUUAUGUAAUUUUACCCUUUUAAUAUUUUUAAUAUUUAUUAAAAAGUAAAUAUUUUUACUUUAAAUAAAUAAAUAAAAUGAAUGUAUGUAUGCAUUUAUGUAAUCUUAUAAAAACUUUCAUAUGGCCUAAAUAUAUAAUAAAUAAAAAUAUACAAUCACAUAAAUAAAUACAAAAGAAUUUUUAAAAAGAAAUAAAUAAAAUAUCAUCUUAUAAAAAAUAUAAAUCAUGUUAUUUUGUUGCUAAAUUAUUUUGAUAAUAUUAUAAUUUUAGAUAAAAUCAUAAGAUAUUUUUAAAUUUUAAAAAUUAUAUUAGCAUCCCACAAAUACUGAGAUGCUAAUAUUCCCACAAGUUUUGAACUAAAUAUUACCUAAAGGUAAUAUUAGAAUUUGAGUACCUCCAAUAUAAUAUUUGAACUAAAUAUAAUUUUUAAAAAAUAUCAAGUAUUGAUUCAUAUUUCAAAUAUACAUGGAGCCCUCCAUUUCCAAUGUGUUAUCAAACCCACUCUGGGCAUCUCUCUCCAUUGCUUUGAUGGCAGACAAAAUUGCAUUAAUUUGUUGACAUUUGGGUGUAGGAGUCAGUUGUUUUUCUUUCUGUUCUUGGGAGGCCUGUAUUUUUAAGUGUUGGACUUGAACAGCUACAGUAAGGUCCAAUGCAUGGCCUAUUACUAUGAACUAUGUCAGAGGGCUGGUGGCUGGGUAAUCUUGGAGUUUAAUAUAGACUUGAUCCUUUUGGAACCAUACAAGUUUCUUUGGAUCAUUGAUUAGUGAUUAUGCAAUCAACAUCUUUGGCAUGAUAUUAGAGAGGUCAUAUAUUUGAUUCUAUGUAGGUAAUUAAUUCCUACAAAAUGAUUCUCUCUUCAGGGAUUUUUUUUUUUUUUUCAGGAAGUGUUUUUCCAAAGAACAUCUCUUAAAAUAUCCCUAUGAUAAUUAUAAGACAACUAAAGCAUUAUCUAAAGUGUUUUUCCAAACCUUUUUUUCUUGUCCGUAACAAACCUUUCGUUCUAGUCAGGAGAUUAGUUCAGACCUCGGGCAAGGUAGGUCAGGUUGUUCAUUUCUUCUUCGUCGUGGCAACCUUGGGACAAAGGCGGAUUGUAGUCGCUCUUGUCUCGAUCUCUUGUGGGUUUCUUGCUCGAGACUAUUACAUCGAUGACAAUGUACUGGUUGGCUCUUUAAAGUACUUCGAGCAUAAUUGUUGUUGUCCUUUCUACCAAUGACUAAA